CCGAUGCUCACUUGUUGGUAGUGUGGGGUUAACCUGCUAGUCGCCUUCGGGCAUCACUCACGGCCAAGUCGCGCUCAGACAAAGACGGGCAGGAUGGUGACCGAGUUCUUACGGUCAUGCCUACCUCAUCAAUAAACGUCAGAGAGAGAA
Molecule: long non-coding RNA, 150 nt
Organism: Scylla paramamosain (green mud crab)
Lineage: Eukaryota; Metazoa; Arthropoda; Malacostraca; Decapoda; Portunidae
Exons: 2
Source: RefSeq, a predicted model, not a curated record